UACGGGGGGAGCAAGUGUUGUUCGGAUUUACUGGGCGUAAAGGGCGCGUAGGCGGCGCAACAAGUCACUUGUGAAAUCUCCGGGCUUAACCCGGAGCGGUCAAGUGAUACUGUCGUGCUAGAGUGCGGAAGGGGCAACUGGAAUUCUCGGUGUAGCGGUGAAAUGCGUAGAUAUCGAGAGGAACACCUGCGGCGAAGGCGGGUUGCUGGGCCGACACUGACGCUGAGGCGCGAAAGCCAGGGGAGCGAACGGG
This 253-nucleotide ribosomal RNA is filed under the name uncultured bacterium. RNAcentral's name for it is "partial 16S ribosomal RNA". It matches the Rfam family "Bacterial small subunit ribosomal RNA", at positions 524 to 776 of the family's 1533-position model. The record is from RNAcentral.